Molecule: ribosomal RNA, 494 nt
Filed under: uncultured bacterium
Lineage: Bacteria
Description: partial 16S ribosomal RNA
Rfam family: Bacterial small subunit ribosomal RNA
Source: RNAcentral
GACGAACGCUGGCGGCGUGCUUAACACAUGCAAGUCGAACGGUGAAGCGCCUUCUUUUUUGUUGGGUGUGGAUGAGUGGCGAACGAGUGAGUAACACAUCUGUACCCUGCUCUCUUCUUCUGGUUAACCGCUUGAACUAGUGGCUAAUACGGGCUAUUCUUGGUCUGUCUGAUGAUGGGUCUGGGAUAGAUAUUGUUUCGGUUCGCGGUGUGCUCGCGUCCUAUCAGCUUGUUGGCGGGGUGAUGGCCUACCAAGGCGGUGACGUGUAGCCGGCCUGAGCGGGUGGACGGUCACACGGGGGCUGAGACACGGCGCAGACUGAUACGGGAGGCAGCAGUGGGGAAUAUUGCACAAUGGGCGCAAGCCUGAUGCAGCGACGCCGCGUGAGGGAUGGAGGCCUUCGGGUUGUGAACCUCUUUCGCGAGUGAAGCAGGCCGGCAUCGUGUGUGGGUGGGUUGACGGUAGCUGGAGAAGAAGCGCCGGCUAACUACGUG